This 881-nucleotide ribosomal RNA is filed under the name uncultured archaeon. RNAcentral describes it as "bacterial SSU rRNA". It matches the Rfam family "Bacterial small subunit ribosomal RNA", at positions 502 to 1396 of the family's 1533-position model. The record is from RNAcentral.
UCCGUGCCAGCAGCCGCGGUCAUACGGAGGGUCCAAGCGUUAUCCGGAAUUACUGGGCGUAAAGAGUUGCGUAGGUGGCAAUGUAAGCAAAUAGUGAAAGCGUGCGGCUCAACCGCAUACACAUUAUUUGAACUACAUAGCUUGAGCAUGAGAGAGGUAGCUGGAAUUCCUAGUGUAGGAGUGAAAUCCGUAGAUAUUAGGAGGAACACCGAUGGCGUAGGCAGGCUACUGGCUUAUUGCUGACACUAAGGCACGAAAGCGUGGGGAGCGAACGGGAUUAGAUACCCCGGUAGUCCACGCCGUAAACUAUGGAUGCUAGCUGUUAUCAGUAUCGACCCUGGUAGUAGCGAAGCUAACGCGUUAAGCAUCCCGCCUGUGGAGUACGGCCGCAAGGCUAAAACAUAAAGGAAUUGACGGGGACCCGCACAAGCGGUGGAGCGUGUUGUUUAAUUCGACGGUAAGCGAAGAACCUUACCAGGGUUUGACAUCCUGCCAAUCUUUCCGAAAGGAGAGAGUGCCUUCGGGCCGCAGAGACAGGUGUUGCAUGGCCGUCGUCAGCUCGUGUCGUGAGAUGUUUGGUUAAGUCCAUCAACGAGCGCAACCCUUAUAGUUAGUUGAAUUUCUCUAGCUAGACUGCCCCGGUAACGGGGAGGAAGGAGGGGACGAUGUCAGGUCAGUAUUACCCUUACACCCUGGGCUACAAACACGCUACAAUGGCCGGUACAGAGCGCAGCCAACCCGCGAGGGGGAGCAAAUCGCAUCAAAGCCGGUCUCAGUUCGGAUAGCAGGCUGAAACUCGCCUGCUUGAAGCUGGAAUCGCUAGUAACGGUAGGUCAGCACACUACCGUGAAUACGUUCCCGGGUCUUGUACACACCGCCCG